This is a long non-coding RNA of Phlebotomus papatasi, 1133 nucleotides long. RefSeq lists it as uncharacterized. The transcript has 3 exons. The record is from RefSeq and is a predicted model, not a curated record. NCBI's taxonomy places the organism in Eukaryota, Metazoa, Arthropoda, Insecta, Diptera, Psychodidae.
CAGGAAGCGUCACUAUCAGACAAUUUUGGUCGACUAUUAGGGAGGUGUUAAAAUUAAUGCCAGAGCUGCUACUCUUUGAUUUUGAGUCACAAUAUGGUCCAAAAAAUGUUCGUGUUAAACUGACGUCACUUCUUCAGAAAAUUGACAAGGAAUACCCUUUGUUACCCGAUGCUAGACAGAAAAGGAACAACGAAAUCAUUGAUGAGUGGACGACAUCGGUCCAGGGAUUUUUGAAAGUCCUUUCCUUUUUCCCACCUGUGAACACUGAUGCGAAGAAGCAAAAAGCAACUGUUAAGGACUCCUUGUCGUCUUUUAUAAUAUUCUUUCCACUGGGCACUCCACCUUCGGGAAUAAUGGACGAUAUUAAUAAAAGAGGUGAAGGAAUACAAUUUGUCGCGGAUGGUUCCAACAAAAAGGCCCUUUCAAACUUCUACUUGAAGGUGGACGACCUCAUCUGGAAGAUCAAAGCUACAGAUUUUAUUGAUGCAUUUGAUUUCAUUUUUAAAGUUCAUUUCGCUCUCAAUAUUGAUUUUAAAAAAUGUCAUUCCCAUUUCUAUAAGUUUAUUCAGCAUUAAAUUUAUGGAAUUUCUCUCCAAAAGAUACUAGUUUCUUUAAAAUCUGUAGCAGCCCGUUGUAAUCUAAACUGAAAAAACCAAUUGAUAAUGCAAUAAAGUAACUAAAAAUUUUAACCCUCUAAGUUCGAUUAAGUCACCCUAAAACUUCUCGUUCUUAACUCUUUAAGGACGAGAAAUUUUUUACGGACCGAAAAUCGUCAAUAAAAAUGAAACCGGUAAACGUCUUACCUCUAACCUUGGAAAGUCCAAUAGAGCCUUAUUUGGUGUAUUUUUCACCUCUAUGAACAAUAGGGAUAAAAAUAGUCAAAAAAUUUAAGUAAUUUUUCUGGCGAUACCAAUGAUAGAUCAAUUGUCGCUCUAAUGAAAAAUAUUACGUUUGAGUAUUGUAGUUUUUAUUCCCGAAAUAGUUUUGCUUAAAAAUAAUUGGAAAUAUAAAAAAUAAUUAAAAUCAAUUUUCAAUAUGAGAAUUUACAAAUCGUCAUUUUUGAGCUUAAAUAUUUAUUAUAUAGCAAAUAGCUAAAGAUUUACAAAAAAUAUUCUAGAUUCCUUCAACCUUUU